Molecule: ribosomal RNA, 746 nt
Filed under: Lichenothelia arida
Lineage: Eukaryota; Fungi; Ascomycota; Dothideomycetes; Lichenotheliales; Lichenotheliaceae
Description: SSU rRNA
Rfam family: Eukaryotic small subunit ribosomal RNA
Source: RNAcentral
CAAUCUAUACGGUGAAACUGCGAAUGGCUCAUUAAAUCAGUUAUCGUUUAUUUGAUAGUACCUUACUACAUGGAUAACCGUGGUAAUUCUAGAGCUAAUACAUGCUAAAAACCCCGACUUCGGGAGGGGUGUAUUUAUUAGAUAAAAAACCAAUGCCCUUCGGGGCUCCUUGGUGAUUCAUAAUAACUCAACGAAUCGCAUGGCCUUGCGCCGGCGAUGGUUCAUUCAAAUUUCUGCCCUAUCAACUUUCGAUGGUAGGAUAGUGGCCUACCAUGGUAUCAACGGGUAACGGGGAAUUAGGGUUCGAUUCCGGAGAGGGAGCCUGAGAAACGGCUACCACAUCCAAGGAAGGCAGCAGGCGCGCAAAUUACCCAAUCCCGACACGGGGAGGUAGUGACAAUAAAUACUGAUACAGGGCUCUUUUGGGUCUUGUAAUCGGAAUGAGUACAAUUUAAAUCCCUUAACGAGGAACAAUUGGAGGGCAAGUCUGGUGCCAGCAGCCGCGGUAAUUCCAGCUCCAAUAGCGUAUAUUAAAGUUGUUGCAGUUAAAAAGCUCGUAGUUGAACCUUGGGCCUGGCUGGCCGGUCCGCCUCACCGCGUGUACUGGUCCGGCCGGGCCUUUCCUUCUGGGGAUCCGCAUGCCCUUCACUGGGCGUGCCGGGGAACCAGGACUUUUACUGUGAAAAAAUUAGAGUGUUCAAAGCAGGCCUUUGCUCGAAUACAUUAGCAUGGAAUAAUAGAAUAGG